ACAAUGAUACUUCCGUCCUGAACGCGUCACAGCAUUGGACGGCGCACCCACAGGCAUGGGACGAGGUGAAAUUCCUAUGG
This 80-nucleotide non-coding RNA is filed under the name unclassified sequences. RNAcentral describes it as "pemK RNA". It matches the Rfam family "pemK RNA". The record is from RNAcentral.